RNAcentral lists this ribosomal RNA (494 nucleotides) under uncultured bacterium. RNAcentral describes it as "partial 16S ribosomal RNA". It matches the Rfam family "Bacterial small subunit ribosomal RNA", at positions 28 to 507 of the family's 1533-position model. The record is from RNAcentral.
GACGAACGCUGGCGGCGUGCUUAACACAUGCAAGUCGAACGGUGAAGCGCCUUCCUUUUUGGUGGGUGUGGAUGAGUGGCGAACGGGUGAGUAACACGUGAGUAACCUGCCCCCCUCUUCUGGAUAACCGCAUGAAAGUGUGGCUAAUACGGGAUAUUCUGGGUCUGUCGCAUGAUGGGUCUGGGAAAGAUAUUGUUUCGGUGGGGGAUGGGCUCGCGGCCUAUCAGCUUGUUGGUGGGGUGAUGGCCUACCAAGGCGGUGACGGGUAGCCGGCCUGAGAGGGUGGACGGUCACACUGGGACUGAGACACGGCCCAGACUCCUACGGGAGGCAGCAGUGGGGAAUAUGGCACAAUGGGCGCAAGCCUGAUGCAGCGACGCCGCGUGAGGGAUGGAGGCCUUCGGGUUGUGAACCUCUUUCGCCAGUGAAGCAGGCCUGCCUCGUUUGUGGGUGGGUUGACGGUAGCUGGAUAAGAAGCGCCGGCUAACUACGUG